RNAcentral lists this ribosomal RNA (104 nucleotides) under Bacillus subtilis. Its description in RNAcentral is "partial 23S ribosomal RNA". It matches the Rfam family "Bacterial large subunit ribosomal RNA", at positions 2825 to 2925 of the family's 2925-position model. The record is from RNAcentral. Lineage: Bacteria; Bacillati; Bacillota; Bacilli; Caryophanales; Bacillaceae.
GAAGUAAGAUCCCUGAAAGAUGAUCAGGUUGAUAGGUCUGAGGUGGAAGUGUGGCGACACAUGGAGCUGACAGAUACUAAUCGAUCGAGGACUUAACCACAUUU